This 2187-nucleotide long non-coding RNA is filed under the name Prunus dulcis (almond). RNAcentral's name for it is "sRNA ncRNA". The record is from RNAcentral. Lineage: Eukaryota; Viridiplantae; Streptophyta; Magnoliopsida; Rosales; Rosaceae.
GUUAUUUUAUUUAUUUUUCCUUAUCUAGAACCCUACUCUAGCAUUCUUUCCUUUUAUUUUCCUUCUUUUCCCGUCCCACUAGCCUCAUCUAUAACAUUCAAUUUUUGUUUUUCCAGUUGAAAGCGCUUGGAGCAGAGGGGAUGAUAAGAGAGCUGAUCCAGUAUUUGGACGUGGCAGAGAAUAUAUUUUGUCGUAAUAACAUUUAUCUGCAACACCUAUUUAUAAUACAGUGCUGCAUUCACUUGUUGAGGCUAAGGAAGUAGGUGUUUUCAUCACCAUUGGUUUUCCUUUCAUUUGCAACUUCAUGAUAGGACCAGUGUUCAUCUACUUUUCUCUUUCUGAUUUCAUGCAGAAUCAAAUGGCAAUUAAGAUAUUUAAAAAUAUGAAGUCAUUUGGUUUCCCGGCAGAUGCUGCGACUUAUCAUAUAAUGAUUGAUUGUUGUAGCAUUCUAGGAUGUUACAGAUCUGCUUGCGCAUUGGUCUCCAUGAUGUUGCGAGAUGGCUUUUAUCCACUAACAGUGACUUACACCAUUCUCAUAAAGGUAGCUUUAAUAUUAUGAUUACUCAGUCUGAAUUAUCAUGCAUCUUGGGAAACUGCUACCAUUUGUGUAUGUGAUCGAAAAGUGUAAUUUUUCCAACUCUUGUUGUGCAAACUAGUCAUUUUAGUUCUGCUUUGUUUACAUAAAAACCCCUUCAUUCAUCCUUUUUCAUGCUUUUUUAUUUUUUAUUUUUUUUUCUGACUAGAGUGUUUGCAAUAUAUGAAUGCACUUAAUUUCUUUUUCUUCUUUUUUUUUUUUUCUUUUUUUUUUUUUUGGGUCUGAGAAUGCACGUCAUUUCAAGUUGAAUAGAUAAGCUAUAGAAAUUCUUCGAUAGCCCAUUGCAUGAUGACAUUUUUGGAUGAAGUAAGAACUCUUACAAAAAGAGAAUUUUUUGUUGUCCUCAUAAGUUUCAUUUAUAGAAAGUUCAAAUAUUUAUAAAGAUAUUUAAAUGAAGACAAUUAGUGAGUUCAUUUUUUAAAAAUGAAAAAGAAAACAGAAGGGAAGUUACAUUUUUGUCUUCUCUGAAAUAUAAGUAAUUUAAUUAAAGAUGAUGACUUUGAGGAAGAUGUUGAAUCUUGUUUUGUUCCAGAUUCUGUUGGAAGAUGAUGACAUUGAGGAAGCAUUGAAUCUUUUGGAUCAAGCCAGUUCAGAACGCAAUGAACUUGAUACCUUGCUAUUUAAUACCAUUCUUGAAAAAGCCUGUGAAAAGGUAUCUCAUAAGAUGGUUCUCGAUAUACAUGAUUAUAAUUUGAUCAACCACAAAAAUUGUGGUUGCAUUAUUUGUUAGUAAUAUAUAUUUUUCUUUUCCCCUGCAAUAAAUGUCAGGAAGUGAUUGAGGUAGUUGAAUUUGUCGUUGAGUGGAUGCACCAAGAAAAAGUCCAGCCGGAUCCAGCGACCUGCCAUUUUGUUUUCUCUGCAUAUGCCAACAGUGGUUUUCACAGCACUGCCAUGGAAGCACUGCAGGCUUUGAGCAUGCGCAUGAUAUGUGAAGAAGAUGGCAGCUUUCCAGAAAAGGCAGAAUUUGAGGAUGACUUCAUCUUUGCUGAAGACUUGGAAGCUGAAUCACGAAUAGUACAGCUUUUUAAAGAUUCUGAAGAGAAUCUUGCUGUUGCCCUUUUGAAUCUAAGAUGGUGCGCCGUGCUCGGCUUCCCAAUUUCAUGGUCACCUAAUCAAAGCCCAUGGGCCAGAAGACUGUCAUCUAACUACACUGCCAGGAAAGGAGCCACCUAAUCAUGAUAUAUAUAGGUGGCAUUAUGACUCCAGUGAGUUUCCCUUUAUUAUUAUUUUUGGUUGUGGUCGAACAAAGCGUAAGGCCUCCUCAGGAAGAAGGGGAGAGGGUGAGAGGCACAGAUGAGGUCUUGAUCUUUUACCGCUGAUUUUUUAGAUUUGUAUUAGGCUAGGAUAUUUGAGAAAAUUAGGGGAUGCCCUUUUAUCUUUUUUGGUUCAUUACGUUAUUUUGUAAGCUACUGCUUUGUAUAUUUAAAAGGUGAAAUCGUGCUGCAGUUCUCUAAACAAGAUCAACUGUGCCUAGGAGGAGGCGGCAGCAUGUUUUGUUGUUAAUUUAACAAAAAAAGCACAAAAAAGCAUUGAUAUUUUCUUUAUGCUUUUAUUCUUUAGCAAGUAUGCUUUGACCGCUAUCUUCUGUUGUC